Molecule: unclassified non-coding RNA, 285 nt
Filed under: plant metagenome
Description: partial contains small subunit ribosomal RNA, internal transcribed spacer 1, and 5.8S ribosomal RNA
Rfam family: Eukaryotic small subunit ribosomal RNA (bases 1-54)
Source: RNAcentral
GGAAGUAAAGGUCGUAACAAGGUUUCCGUAGGUGAACCUGCGGAAGGAUCAUUAUUGUAUAACCGAGGUGCGAGGGCUGUCGCUGACCCGAAAGGUCGUGCACGCCCGAGUGCCCUCACACACAUCCAUCUCACCCCUAUGUUCACCACCGCGUGGGUCCCCCUUUGGCUUGUUCGGAGGGGGGCUUACGUUUUCACACAAACUUUGUAUGCAGUGUAGAAUGUAUUUUUUGUUUUUGCGAUCACGCAAUCAAUACAACUUUCAACAACGGAUCUCUUGGCUCUC